Molecule: long non-coding RNA, 659 nt
Organism: Drosophila miranda
Lineage: Eukaryota; Metazoa; Arthropoda; Insecta; Diptera; Drosophilidae
Exons: 2
Source: RefSeq, a predicted model, not a curated record
AAACUCAGUAUAGUGUGAAACUAUUGUCAAAAUAGGACGUAACCCAAGUGGUGGAUCUUUUGUAAAAUACUUUUACAGGCAAAAAUUUAGUAAAAAAUAGCGAAAUACAAAGUAUCCCAAGAUAUAUUCGGCAGCUUGCUCAUUCCCAUCAUUCGCAGUAGAGAUGCAAAAUCGGACCAGAACCGGGUCCGGAAUCGCAGAAGUUCGAGCACCGGAGAGGAUAGCGGGCCAUGCUGAUAGAUAUGAUGAGAACAGGCAACAUACUGACAAGGUCUUCAAUUAGAAGUCACUUAACAGGCCACCAGCCUUUGUCAAUCUUUCCAUAUUUCCAGCCUUAAUGCACAUAUCCAAAGAAGGCGCCAAGCGAUUGGCACCGCCCAGAGAUACCGUAAAAAGAAAAUACAUUGUCGAUUUAUUCAAGAACUGCUAUGAUGCCGGUGAUUUCCUAUCUCAUCUGCCAGUGCCCCGAGAUGGGGCAUUCGUUAUAUUUCACAUGCGUCCAAAUCUAUGAAAAACUCUCUAAUCUGCGAGAAAAAACCAGAUUCUAAAUUUUAAAUUUACGUAAACAAGUUUAACCCAUCAUAGCAGUUAGUUUUUAGUCUUGUAACGAACCUAAAAGGAUUCCCCCGACAUAUUAUAAGCAUAAAACCUGAUACUAA